Molecule: long non-coding RNA, 950 nt
Organism: Misgurnus anguillicaudatus (oriental weatherfish)
Lineage: Eukaryota; Metazoa; Chordata; Actinopteri; Cypriniformes; Cobitidae
Source: RefSeq, a predicted model, not a curated record
CUGGCUGUUGAGGCAUUUUGCACUUCCAGAUAUCUAUGUGCACUUUUGUUCCUUUGCAUAUGAAUUUAAGAAAUUAUCUUUAAUUUAUUAGUGUUUAUAACAUUCGUUUUAACCAAAAAUAUGCUGUGCAUGAUUUGUUUAUAUUAUUGGGGCUUUGUGCUGCGCCCUCUUGUGGGCUUUUAGGAGUAUUUUCUCCAAGAUAAAGUAGGUCUUUAUAAUUCGAAUAUAAUUCGAAUUUUAUUAUUUUUCAAGGACGAAUUUCGAAUGUACUUAUUCAGCCAUUUUGACAGCCCUACUUACCAAUAAAGAACCUAUUGUUAAUGAAAUAAUUAAUGACCAAAACUUAGAUGCACUCUGUUUAACAGAAACCUGGCUUAAAGCAGAUGACUACACUAGUUUAAACGAAUCCACCCCACAAGACUAUUAUUAUAAACACGAACCUCGAUUAAAGGGGAGAGGGGGUGGUGUAGCUACAAUAUACAACAACAUUUUUAACGUUAACCAGAAAUCUGAACUAAAAUUUAACUUAUUUGAACUAAUGUUAUUAACCCUUUAUGGGGCAAGUAACCAUAUUUAGUCACUUCCGCACACAUUCAAAGUGCCCUCCCCCUGCCUUCAUUUGGAAUAGUAGAGUCAUGUAGUUUUCUCUUAGCCGAUCAGGGGAGAUCAAGCUAUCUCACGGAUAUUAACAUCAAGGCAUCUGACCAAUCAGUAGUGGCCUGGAGCACCUCAAACACAGCCAUCUUCCAGAAAUCAAAAAUAUUACUUUUUUGAACCUGGCUUCUCCCACAGCAAUAGUUAUAACAUCAUAACUAAACAUGCUGUCUGCUCGGCAGCUGAGAAGAGGGGUACCAUUGUUGUUCCUGUAAACCCAGUCAAGCCAGUAUCAGUACCGCAAGACCAUGUCUCUAAAUAAAUGUUCCUUGCAGCUUGUGCCUAUAAUAAAUAAA